This 232-nucleotide unclassified non-coding RNA is filed under the name Hevea brasiliensis (rubber tree). The record is from RNAcentral. Lineage: Eukaryota; Viridiplantae; Streptophyta; Magnoliopsida; Malpighiales; Euphorbiaceae.
GGCAAAGCUUCUCCACAUGUUUUCGAUUGAUCAGAGACGGAACAAGACUGUAAAUUUAACAGAAAAGAAAAAGAAGAAAUAAGUGUUACAGGAACCAAAUUUCAAGCGAGAUGCGAGGAGAUGAGAACUAGAAAGAAAUAUGAAGAGAUUGAUAACAGUGACAGAUUCAAUGUGGGAAUGAGAAAUCUCGAAAACAGAUAGGCAAGGGGACCUGCCAGUGGCUAAAGUAGCC